GAAAAGAUCAGGCUGAACUCCAGAGUUCGACUUGGCAUACACGUGAUAUUGUAUUUUGCACACAAGCGAAAAGUGAAAGAAAAGACUGGAUAAAAACAUGAAACAAAUGGGUUGCAACUAGUGCAAUGCAACUAGUAUGACUAGGACACAGCAGACUACUUCUAGUCACUCACACAGUCCCAUAUAGACAUUUCUGGCUAAACAUCAACCAGUUUGUGCCGGAGGCCACAAGGACAUAUCCUACAUUCCCUCCUUUCUCUCUUGACUGAAUCCCGGGCUAGUGAGGGGUUACACGAAACAAACAAUAACAAAACUCUAAUUCAGCACAAUAAACACACAAAACACAUAACAAGAAGCUUCAUUUUAUGGUAAGUACAUUCAUUCAUAUUAGUUCACCAUGUUAACUCUUUUCUGUCUUUCCCUACAGGUUCCCAAAUCCCACCUCAACCCCUUCUACACACAGCCAUAGGCUCUACCGGCCAGUAUUGGGGAAGCCCCGGAAGGCACUCACACUCCCCUGAGUAUCAGGACAGAAUGAGAACAAGAUGGUCAACACCUUUGUAGGACUGCAGCUCAGAUGGGAAUCAAUUUUAACUGAUACACUAAACUAAAAAACUGAUAAACUAACACAAAGGAGGAGAGAGAAGACAUUUGGAGAAACAGAAGUGCUGGAAGACUGUGCCUGUGUGCAUACUGUAAGCCUCGAGGUCUUUUUACCAUAAAACACAAGUGGACUGGAGCCGUUUUGUUUUCACAAUGCACCAAUCAACUGGACGACAAAACAAUUACAAACGAACCGAACUGAGACCGCGUUAUUUUAGUUGUCUACGACAGCAUAUUG
Molecule: long non-coding RNA, 841 nt
Organism: Colossoma macropomum (tambaqui)
Lineage: Eukaryota; Metazoa; Chordata; Actinopteri; Characiformes; Serrasalmidae
Exons: 3
Source: RefSeq, a predicted model, not a curated record